This 218-nucleotide ribosomal RNA is filed under the name Phyllopsora chodatinica. RNAcentral's name for it is "partial small subunit ribosomal RNA". It matches the Rfam family "Bacterial small subunit ribosomal RNA", at positions 947 to 1210 of the family's 1533-position model. The record is from RNAcentral. Lineage: Eukaryota; Fungi; Ascomycota; Lecanoromycetes; Lecanorales; Ramalinaceae.
UAAUUUGAUAAUCCGCAAAAAACCUUACCACAGCUUGAAUAUUUAUAUUUUUAUAUAUUUACAAGCGUUGCACGGCUGUCUUCAGUUAAUGUCGUGAGAUUUUGGUUAGAUCCAUUAAAUUAACGUAAGCCCUUACUUUAUUUACAAAUAAAGUUGUUCCCCACUAUAUUGGAUAUGAUAACAGGGAUUAAGAUAAGUCAUCAUGGCCUUAAUGCUGU